UUGAAACACCAGUUCCUGUAUGAUCACUGAAGUUAAGCAUCAUUGAGGCUGGUCAGUAUCUAGAUUGGUGACUGUUUGGGAAUACCAAGUGCUGUAAG
This is a non-coding RNA of Acanthosepion pharaonis, 98 nucleotides long. NCBI's taxonomy places the organism in Eukaryota, Metazoa, Mollusca, Cephalopoda, Sepiida, Sepiidae. The record is from the annotation of a GenBank genome assembly.